UACGAGAGGUCCAAACGUUAUUCGGAAUCACUGGGCUUACAGAGUUCGUAGGCGGUCCAGAAAGUGGGGUGUGAAAGCCCUCGGCUCAACCGAGGAAUUGCGCUCCAAACUACUGGGCUAGAGGAAGAUAGAGGUGAGCAGAACUGAUGGUGGAGCGGUGAAAUGCGUUGAUAUCAUCAGGAAUACCGGAGGCGAAGGCGGCUCACUGGGUCUUUUCUGACGCUGAGGAACGAAAGCUAGGGGAGCAAAC
RNAcentral lists this ribosomal RNA (250 nucleotides) under uncultured bacterium. Its description in RNAcentral is "partial 16S ribosomal RNA". It matches the Rfam family "Bacterial small subunit ribosomal RNA", at positions 524 to 773 of the family's 1533-position model. The record is from RNAcentral.